GAUGAAGGCCNUNGGGUUGUAAANNACUUUUGUNUGGGANGAAAAGGNNCUNUNUAAUANNGAGGGUNNCUGACGGUACCACAAGAAUAAGCACCGGCUAACUACGUGCCAGCAGCCGCGGUAAUACGUAGGGUGCGAGCGUUAAUCGGAAUUACUGGGCGUAAAGGGUGCGCAGGCGGCCAUGCAAGUCAGAUGUGAAAGCCCCGGGCUUAACCUGGGAAUUGCGUUUGAAACUGCAAGGCUAGAGUGCAACAGAGGGGAGUGGAAUUCCAUGUGUAGCAGUGAAAUGCGUAGAGAUGUGGAAGAACACCGAUGGCGAAGGCAGCUCCCUGGGUUGACACUGACGCUCAUGCACGAAAGCGUGGGGAGCAAACAGGAUUAGAUACCCUGGUAGUCCACGCCCUAAACUAUGUCAACUAGUUGUCGGAUCUAAUUAAGGAUUUGGUAACGUAGCUAACGCGUGAAGUUACCGCCUGGGGAGUACGGUCGCA
This 491-nucleotide ribosomal RNA is filed under the name uncultured bacterium. RNAcentral describes it as "partial 16S ribosomal RNA". It matches the Rfam family "Bacterial small subunit ribosomal RNA", at positions 407 to 890 of the family's 1533-position model. The record is from RNAcentral.